UUUCUACGAUAAUCUAAUUUAGAAAUUUUCCUUCUCUUCUUUGCCCAGAUCAUCAUGGUAUCAGAGCUUAGGAUAAGUUUGAUCGAUUAUUGUUCUUCAUUUUCUUGACUAAUUGAUUUCAUCUUUUCUGGGUUUAUUCAUGCUAUUGUUGUUGUUUCUAGCCAUCGUUUUUUUGAAAUUGUGAGAUGUCAAUAAAUUCAUCUUCCUCUCCCGGAAGCACACUAAAUUCGUCCAUGAUGCAGCUGAAAAUUUCUUCUCAUGAUCAACCUAACAUGACCCUUAUUCGUCUUCAACUCACGGAGACAAAUUAUUUGAUUUGGAGCACAUUUGUGUUGAGAGCUCUUUCAGCAAAAUGAUUUAAAAAGAUUUUUGACCGGAGAGAUCAAGCGAUCUAAAGAUACAAUAGAUGCCUUAGAAUGGAAAAAAAAAUGAUGAUAUAGUACUCGGCUAGCUAUUGAAUUCAAUCGCUCCACAAAUCACAAUUGCAUUUAGUCUCAUCAAGACAAGUCACGAACUAUGGCAGAAACUAAGUUGGCUAUAUCAAGGUAAUCUUUCUAUGGUUGCAUAUUUUAAUAAAAUUUAGGUUUGAAAGAUUAAUUGUCUUGCAUAGCACCUGUGCCUAUUGACAGAAAUGAAGUUGAUUUCUACCUCCAAAACUUAGAUACAAUUGAUUAUUUCAUGGGUUUAAAUGAUAGUUUUUAUGCCAUAAGAAAUCAAAUAUUGAUGAUGGAUCAUUUGCCUGAUGUGAACAAAGUAUAUAGUAUACUUUCAACUGUUGAAAAACAGCAAGAGGUAUACAAUAUGUUAAAGGAUCUUUCACCCACUGUGUUGCUUGCUAACUCUAGAACAUUUGAAAUGUUGAUAAAAGAACAACAGAAAGAAGAUUCGAUAGAAUAGAGAAAAUAAAUUUGAUUUUGUGAUCACUGCAAGAGACGUGGACAUGCCAAAGCUUAAUGUUUCAAACUUCACGUUUAUCCUAAUUGAAAUAAGGAAAACUAUAUAAGAAAAUGAGAGAGAAUGGACAAUGUCAAUCAACUAAGACUACAUUUCAAGUUGGUGAAGAUACUACAUUGGUUGUUUCUUUAUAAUAUUGGGUUCAACUCUCACAGUUCAGGCUCUUUAUCAUCCAGUGAAGCCUUAAGUGAUCUGAUAUAAAGAGAGAUUACGAAAGCUCUUGAAUGUUAAAGGUAUUGUUUAUAUAAAUGCAUAUAAUAAAGUGAAUACAUUUAAAGGUUGGAUUCUUGACAAUAGGGCUACAUGCCAUGUAGCCAAUGACAUGAAGCUAUUUGAUUGUUUGAUACCGUUUGGUAGCCCUAUUAAAGUUUUCAUGCCCAAUAGAACAGUGUAGUUAGAAAAAUAGACAUGCACAGUGAGUUUGAGUGAAAAUAUUACUCUACUUGAUGUCUAUUUUCUUUCUACUUUCAAAUAUUGCUUGGCACCUAUAUGCAGACUUUGCUUGUCACCUGGCUUAUCUGUGAUUUUUAAGAAUAAUCAGUGCUUGAUUCAGGACCAUGAUCAUCAAGUACUUGGAAAAUAAGUGUUUAAAGAUCAGUUGUUCUAUCUAGAGGGCUACAAUAAUCGAAUAUGUGAUGUAAAGCUGGAUACUCCUUGGCAUCAGGGAUUAGGACAUCCAUCUAAUUUGGUACCACAUAAACUUACGUCUAACUCUUUUUUUAGAAUAAGGAUGUUGAAUAUGCUUCUUUACCUUGUGAUGCUUGUCAUUCAACUAAAAUGACACAUUUACCUUUUGGUUUGAGUGUUAAUAAAGUUUAUUAUUCUUUUGUUCUAUUGUAUCUCGAUAUUUGGGCCCCUUAUCCACUUACCAUAUACAUGUGGAGCAAAGUAUUUUCUUACCAUUGUAGAUGACUAUAGCAUAAGUACCUGAAUUUUCUUGUUGCAACUUAAAUCUUAGGUCUUGAAUGUCUUUUUUGUGUUCAUCAGAUUAGUUCAUACUUAGUUUAAUUUCAAAAUGAAGAAUGUGAGAACAGACUUUGAAGGUUAGUUUACUUCCUUGGCAUUCAAGAAUCUGUUAGAAGAUAAUGGAGUUGGUCACUUCAAGUCUUGCCCUUACACUCCACAGCAGAAUGAUAGAUUGGAGAGGAAACAUCAGCACUUAAUCUCAAUUGCUAAGACAUUGCAGGUUUCUUCACCCUUGGCUGCUGAAUCUUCCUCUCCUAUAACUACAGCAACGGAUUUACCCCUACGCCAGAUGCUGAAUUUUCUUUUCCUACUAUUAUAGCAGUUGAACUAUCAUCUACGCCACCAACUACACAACCCCACAGGGAGAUAAUACUCAGUGGAUACAAGCUAUGCAAGAGGAACUUGAUACCCUUGAGAAGAACUAUACAUGGGAUGUACAUGCACG
Long non-coding RNA from Andrographis paniculata, 2365 nucleotides. RefSeq lists it as uncharacterized. The record is from RefSeq and is a predicted model, not a curated record. Lineage: Eukaryota; Viridiplantae; Streptophyta; Magnoliopsida; Lamiales; Acanthaceae. The transcript has 3 exons.